Molecule: ribosomal RNA, 463 nt
Filed under: uncultured bacterium
Lineage: Bacteria
Description: SSU rRNA
Rfam family: Bacterial small subunit ribosomal RNA
Source: RNAcentral
AGAAUCAACGCUGGCGGCGUGCCUAACACAUGCAAGUCGAACGAGAAAGGGGUAGCAAUACCCUGAGUAAAGUGGCGCACGGGUGAGUAACACGUGACUAACCUACCCUUGAGUGGGGGAUAACUGAGGGAAACCUUAGCUAAUACCGCAUAAUACCCACGGGUCAAAGGAGCAAUUCGCUCGAGGAGGGGGUCGCGGCCGAUUAGUUAGUUGGCGGGGUAAUGGCCCACCAAGACGAUGAUCGGUAUCCGGCCUGAGAGGGCGCACGGACACACUGGAACUGAAACACGGUCCAGACUCCUACGGGAGGCAGCAGUGGGGAAUUUUGCGCAAUGGGGGAAACCCUGACGCAGCAACGCCGCGUGGAGGAUGAAGUCCUUCGGGACGGUAAACUCCUUUCGAUCGGGACGAUUAUGACGGUACCGGAAGAAGAAGCCCCGGCUAACUUCGCGCCAGCAGCCGC